Molecule: ribosomal RNA, 492 nt
Filed under: uncultured bacterium
Lineage: Bacteria
Description: partial 16S ribosomal RNA
Rfam family: Bacterial small subunit ribosomal RNA
Source: RNAcentral
AGUGAACGCUGGCGGUAGGCCUAACACAUGCAAGUCGAACGGCAGCACAGUAAGAGCUUGCUCUUACGGGUGGCGAGUGGCGGACGGGUGAGGAAUACAUCGGAAUCUACUUUUUCGUGGGGGAGAACGUAGGGAAACUUACGCUAAUACCUCAUACGACCUACGGGUGAAAGCAGGGGAUCUUCGGACCUUGCGCGAUUGAAUGAGCCGAUGUCGGAUUAGCUAGUUGGCGGGGUAAAGGCCCACCAAGGCGACGAUCCGUAGCUGGUCUGAGAGGAUGAUCAGCCACACUGGAACUGAGACACGGUCCAGACUCCUACGGGAGGCAGCAGUGGGGAAUAUUGGACAAUGGGCGCAAGCCUGAUCCAGCCAUACCGCGUGGGUGAAGAAGGCCUUCGGGUUGUAAAGCCCUUUUGUUGGGAAAGAAAAGCAGCAGGUUAAUACCCCGCUGUUCUGACGGUACCCAAAGAAUAAGCACCGGCUAACUUCGUG